This is a long non-coding RNA of Bactrocera latifrons, 508 nucleotides long. RefSeq lists it as uncharacterized. Lineage: Eukaryota; Metazoa; Arthropoda; Insecta; Diptera; Tephritidae. The transcript has 2 exons. The record is from RefSeq and is a predicted model, not a curated record.
AUGUAAAUAAAAGCACACACUGACUCACACAUAAAAAGUUAUGCUAUCAUUUUUCAAAUAGAAAUUCAUGUAAUUUCAUCAAGCUACAUAUCGCCACCUAAAAUGCAAAAUAAUGUAACAUCACUUUUCAUAAGUUUACAAGCGAAGAAAACAAUGUAAAAUAAACCACUCAAAUGAAAACAAAAUGUGACCAAAUGCAAUUGUAAAGGCAAAUUAUUUUUAAGACAACAAAAUGCUUUCGAGUGAAGUGUGGCAGUGACGAGCAAAGCAAUGAAGUCAACGCCAGCAAUGCCACCGUUGUUUAUAGCAGAUAAAAUACAACAACAAAAAUAAAUAAGAAACAAGCAAAUAAUGACUUGACAUCUGAAUAUGUAGCUGUCUCGAAUCUGCUCUUAUAAGCAAUUCACGUUUUUAGUACAAAUUAACCGUUUAAAGCAUUUGGAUGCGGCGCAGCUGCGCAGUGAAAAUUUGCAACAAAUAUACAUAGUAGAUGUUAUAGCAAAUGGAA